ACAACGACUUUCGGCAACGGAUAUCUAGGCUCUCGCAUCGAUGAAGAACGUAGCAAAAUGCGAUACUUGGUGUGAAUUGCAGAAUCCCGUGAACCAUCGAGUUUUUGAACGCAAGUUGCGCCCGAAGCCAUUAGGCCGAGGGCACGCCUGCCUGGGCGUCUC
RNAcentral lists this ribosomal RNA (162 nucleotides) under Cyclamen alpinum. Its description in RNAcentral is "5.8S ribosomal RNA". It matches the Rfam family "5.8S ribosomal RNA". Rfam says of the family: 5.8S ribosomal RNA (5.8S rRNA) is a component of the large subunit of the eukaryotic ribosome. It is transcribed by RNA polymerase I as part of the 45S precursor that also contains 18S and 28S rRNA. Lineage: Eukaryota; Viridiplantae; Streptophyta; Magnoliopsida; Ericales; Primulaceae. The record is from RNAcentral.